Long non-coding RNA from Cydia splendana, 364 nucleotides. RefSeq lists it as uncharacterized. The transcript has 2 exons. The record is from RefSeq and is a predicted model, not a curated record. Lineage: Eukaryota; Metazoa; Arthropoda; Insecta; Lepidoptera; Tortricidae.
AUUUUGUAUACAGGGUGAUUUCGGGGUCGUGGAGCAAGAGAGCCAGACAUCAUACAGAAUCCAAAGAUGAGCCUAAUGAUGUUGUUAAUUAUUGUUUAUCACCAAUAAUGAUGAUUAUUUUCCAGAUGACAAGUAGGAAAAAACAUUUUUGCAUACAAUUUGGUGACCCUACUCAAUGUGACGUCUUGUCGCUUUCCAUACAGCGUAUGUCAAAAGUCAUAGGGUGACCAUAAUUACUUAAUUUUUUUAAUACCACAUCGGUGGCAAACAAGCAUACGGCCUGCCUGAUGGUAAGCAGUCACCGUAGCCUAUGGACGCCUGCAACUCCAGAGGUGUUACAUGCGCGUUGCCGACCUUUUAAAAA